UGGCCAUAAAAUAGUAGGUGCUCACUAAAUAUGCUACAGUAGUCCCCUCUUAUAUGCAGGGAUUAAUUUCUUAGACCUCUACUAGAGGCCUGAAAUCAAGUAUAGUACUGAACCCUAUAUAUAAUAUGCUUUUGUCUUACAAACACAUACCUGUGAGACAAUUUUAUCUAUAAAUUAGGCACAGAAGGAGAUAAAUAAUAUCUAAUAAUAAAAUAGAAUCCUCAUAACAAUGUAUUUUAAUAAAAGUUAUGUGAAUGCAGUCUCUCUCUCUCAAAAUAGAUAUUGUACUGUACUCACCCUUCUUCUUGUGCUGAUGUGAGACGAUGAAGCCCCCAGGUGAUGAGAUGAGGUGAG
This 354-nucleotide long non-coding RNA is filed under the name Homo sapiens (human). RNAcentral describes it as "HSALNT0270027". Lineage: Eukaryota; Metazoa; Chordata; Mammalia; Primates; Hominidae. The record is from RNAcentral.